RNAcentral lists this ribosomal RNA (254 nucleotides) under uncultured bacterium. RNAcentral describes it as "partial 16S ribosomal RNA". It matches the Rfam family "Bacterial small subunit ribosomal RNA", at positions 524 to 776 of the family's 1533-position model. The record is from RNAcentral.
UACGUAGGGUGCAAGCGUUGUCCGGAAUUAUUGGGCGUAAAGAGCUCGUAGGCGGUCUGUCGUGUCUGCUGUGAAAACUCAGGGCUUAACCCUGAGCUUGCAGUGGGUACGGGCAGACUAGAGUGCGGUAGGGGAGACUGGAAUUCCUGGUGUAGCGGUGAAAUGCGCAGAUAUCAGGAGGAACACCUGCGGCGAAGGCGGGUUGCUGGGCUGAUACUGACGCUGAGGCGCGGAAAGCCAGGGGAGCGAACGGG